GGCAUCUAGACAGGUGAAGGGGAAAGCAAGAACGGAGGGCCUUUAAGUCUUUAUAGGCAAUAGUUAAAUUACAAUUGGCCGUUAAAAAUGAUCGUUUACAUUUCCCUGGGCUUGGUAGCUGCUCGUGCUUACUACAUUCAGCCAUGCCGCCACCCACACUCCGCCUUAUCUCUAGCUCCCCCGUCUCCACCGUCGCGGGCUUAUCACCCUUCCCUCCCCAGCAGCCCAUUUCAAAUCAAAACCUCUCCGUUAACCCCAAUCAAGAGAAUCGACGGAAAGGACAACGCCACCUUCAGAAUCAAAUCCAAAUCUCUCGCAGAGACGCCGCGUUUCUGUCCCUAAUCUCUCUCUUUCCUUCCCUAUUCCAACCCUCUCAUGCUUCUGCAUUCUCCAUUGGAAUUUCAGGACCAAAGGAUUGGCUUAAAGAGCAAAAAAGGAAGUCCUCGAAAUUCCUCUUGGCCCCAAUUGAUGCUUCUCGGCGAAGCCUUCGCUCUGCUUAUCUUUUGCUCAUGGAUGAGGAAUCAACUAAUUCAAAUAAGGAUUUAGAGGAAGUUCAAAAGCUCUUGAAAUCUGCCGCUAGGGAUUGCGUUGUACAAGAGAGGAAUUCCUUUGUUGCAUUUCAAGCCAAUACCGGAGUCGAGGUUUGCACAUUCCGGUUGAUUGUGAAGAAUGCUUCUUCCUUGCUUGAGGAUAAGAAUCCUGUUAAGCUGGAAGCUGAAGCUAUGCUAGAUGAUCUUAUAAGCUUGUUUACCUCACUUAAUAGUUUGGCAAAUGAAACUGAUAUUCAAGUUGCUUCCAGUAGGCAAAGGGUUGCAGAUGCACUCCUGGAUACCAUAACCUCCCUUGACAAAUUUGAGCAGGGGGUUAAGGAUUGCCUCAAAGUAUGACCAUGCUGGCUUCCUUUUCUAAUUGAUUUUAUGGUGUUAUGUGAUGGUUGGAGAUUUUGUGGAGGCUUUAGUCCUCUGGACCUGGAGCAUGGAAGGUUGUAAAAAUUCUGAAUAUUUGCUUUUCAGGGGCUAUACCAGGUCAAAGUUUGAAACAAAAAGAAGGGAAGGAAAACAUGCAUACAGUUUAUCGUUACAGACUCAACAAUAAACAAAAAUUGUUUAUGAUCAAUCAAAAUAUGAGUUUUUCUCUUAGACAAACUACAAAGGAUGCUUAUCCUCAACUAUUCCUGCAAAGAGAAAUGAAGCCUGCACCAAAUAUAAGCGACGGCAUGGUGUUCCAUCGUCCGGGUUGAUUUCUAUUGACCUUGGAAUGGAGAGCUUGUGCUUUACUUGGGAGGAAAGCCUUUCUGGAUGCAAGCUUACACUGAGGCAUGUAAUUGCAAUUUUUUACAGUAUAAAUGAAUCUGCUUAUUGGCUAGCAUUUGAUAAAUUGUUACGCGUGAAUCAUGAUGUUUGAGCAAUCUAGUUCAGUAACUAUCAAUGUGACGGCAGGAUAUAAAGGGAUCAGUGCCUUGCAGAAAGCGAGGUUGUACAGAGCUUCAUUGCUUCUAAUAUGAAUGCUGUAAGUAUAGUGCAUUAAACACGGGGUAGAGUGAAUACUAACCUGCGCCAAGGAGAACAACUUGAGCUGCACCACCAAAGGAAUCAAGAGCAGCUUC
Durio zibethinus is the source of this 1606-nucleotide non-coding RNA. NCBI's taxonomy places the organism in Eukaryota, Viridiplantae, Streptophyta, Magnoliopsida, Malvales, Malvaceae. The record is from RefSeq and is a predicted model, not a curated record.